RNAcentral lists this ribosomal RNA (497 nucleotides) under uncultured bacterium. Its description in RNAcentral is "partial 16S ribosomal RNA". It matches the Rfam family "Bacterial small subunit ribosomal RNA", at positions 28 to 507 of the family's 1533-position model. The record is from RNAcentral.
GAUGAACGCUGGCGGCGUGCCUAAUACAUGCAAGUCGAGCGAACGGACGAGAAGCUUGCUUCUCUGAUGUUAGCGGCGGACGGGUGAGUAACACGUGGAUAACCUACCUAUAAGACUGGGAUAACUUCGGGAAACCGGAGCUAAUACCGGAUAAUAUUUUGAACCGCAUGGUUCAAAAGUGAAAGACGGUCUUGCUGUCACUUAUAGAUGGAUCCGCGCUGCAUUAGCUAGUUGGUAAGGUAACGGCCUACCAAGGCAACGAUGCAUAGCCGACCUGAGAGGGUGAUCGGCCACACGGGAACUGAGACACGGUCCAGACUCCUACGGGAGGCAGCAGUAGGGAAUCUUCCGCAAUGGGCGAAAGCCUGACGGAGCAACGCCGCGUGAGUGAUGAAGGUCUUCGGAUCGUAAAACUCUGUUAUUAGGGAAGAACAUAUGUGUAAGUAACUGUGCACAUCUUGACGGUACCUAAUCAGAAAGCCACGGCUAACUACGUG